RNAcentral lists this long non-coding RNA (654 nucleotides) under Monodelphis domestica (gray short-tailed opossum). RNAcentral describes it as "lncRNA (ENSMODG00000040217.1)". The record is from RNAcentral. Lineage: Eukaryota; Metazoa; Chordata; Mammalia; Didelphimorphia; Didelphidae.
UGGGAGGGGGGAGUGGAGGAGAUUGGGGCAUCUCCAGCCCUGGCAGAGAGCUCAAGGGCUUCGAGGCUGGUCUAUUCUAUAUUUAUUGUUUCGUCUUCAUUUACUAACAAAUCUCUAGUUGAGGAACCACUGGAGGCAGCAGUGACAGCCUCUUCGGAAGAAGGAGACUAUGUUGCCCCGGCAGAGGAACCUCUACUAGGGGAGGACCAGGAAGAGGAGGCGGCAGCGCCGUUAACCUCGGGCCCCGAAGCCUCUGAAGAAGCUGGAGUCGGGGCAGUGCAGGCCCCAGGGACAGCCCAGGAGGAGGGAUUGGAACCGGGAACGGAGGGAAAGGAUCAAGAGGAGACAGUCAGGGAACCUGAGGCUGGCGAAGCGUUGAGUACGAAGUGCCAAGACAGCGGAUGUCACCCAACUCUAAGCUGUAUCCCGGUACCACCUCCCCGAGCUCCCCGGACCGAAUCCCCUAACUCCGGGCUGUGCGAGACUGAGACCUCGGGGAGCGAAGGAACCAGCGGGGCUGUCAGCGUCCUGGACAACCGAGAAGGGAGUUCGGACGUGAUGGCCUCUGAGGGAGCGGAGCAGGAGGCGGGGGAGCCUCUGGGUUUUGCCUCGGUUUCCUCCUUAGUCUCCAGCCCCUCGUUACCGCAAUGCUGA